Molecule: long non-coding RNA, 386 nt
Organism: Magnolia sinica
Lineage: Eukaryota; Viridiplantae; Streptophyta; Magnoliopsida; Magnoliales; Magnoliaceae
Exons: 3
Source: RefSeq, a predicted model, not a curated record
GGUUCGAGUUCUGGAUUGGGUUUAGGUUUGUGUUUUCAAGUUUAGGUUUAGGUUUAGGUUAGGGAGUUGAGAUUGGGAUUAGGUGUAGGUUUAGGUUUAGGGAAUUGAGAAUAGCUUAAGGUUUAGGUUUAGGAAAUCGGGUUCGGGUUCAGGAUCGGGUUUAGGCUUGGGUUUUCAAGUUUAGGUUUAGGUUUAGGUUAGGGAGUUGAGAUUGGGUUUAGUGGUAGGUUUAGGUUUAGGGAUUUGAGAAUAGGUUAAGGUUUAGGUUUAGGAAAUCGGGUUCGGGUUCGAGAUCGGGUUUAGGUUUGGGUUUUCAAGUUUAGGUUUAGGUUUAGGUUAGGGAGUUGAGAUUAGGAUUAGGUGUAGGUUUAGGUUUAGGGAUUUGA